CAAAUUGCCUCACUUGUUUUUAUGAUGUGUAUCGGUUGAAGUUUCAAGUUGUUUAUUCUGUUUGGAAAUAAAAAAAAGAUCUAGAGAGACAAAUGUAGUUUAUUAAAGUCAAUAGAGUUAAUUAUUUUAAAACUAGUACAUGUUUGAAUUCAAUAUUAUUACAUGCUUCUUGUUUUUUCUAGUUUUAAGUAGCAUAUGAGAUUUUGUCAAUGUUUGGGUAUAAUAAUCUAGUUUUUAAUGAGAUUUUGUGAAUGAAGGAUUCUGAGUACCCUUUCAUUUUUUGGACUUCCCCAUUGUAGUUCUCACUCACCUUAGUUUCUCCAUUCCCACCAUUUGAUUGGAGAUUUUUUUUGUUAUUACUCCUUAUAGGUUUCUUAGGAAGAGUUCGAUAUAUAUGUGACUGGCUCAUGGAAUUAUGGUAUUUGGUGCCAUACUGCAUUGGGAUAUGAAUCUUCUUGCAAUCAAAUAACUGCAGAAGAACUGCGGUCUUCCAAAAUAUGGACAGCUUUGUCCUCAUGGUCUUCUCUUUUCAUUUCAUGGAAUCAAGUGUUGAAGUUCUUGUUUGUGUUCUGUAUUUUGUUGAGACGUUGAUUUAGUUAUUCAUUGACUGUACGUAUGUGUUAUGGAUUCUUUGUAGGUUCAACUGGAGUCGACAAGUUCAUGAGUUUUGUUUCAAAUAUCAUUUCCAGAAACGAACAUUCUCGGUUGGUCCAGUCAAAUAUAUUCGAAUGCUAUUUAAGAUAUCUUUUGAUUAAGAGUUAGUAUUUCGUACAUGUGGAUUACUGAAACUUGUAUUAAGAUGUACAAAUAUUAUAAAUCGUAUUAUAGUGUAUAUAUAUUAAAGUGUUGGCUAUUUUCUUGUA
Long non-coding RNA from Cucumis sativus (cucumber), 863 nucleotides. RefSeq lists it as uncharacterized. The transcript is spliced from 2 exons. Lineage: Eukaryota; Viridiplantae; Streptophyta; Magnoliopsida; Cucurbitales; Cucurbitaceae. The record is from RefSeq and is a predicted model, not a curated record.